GUUUCCUACUCAAGACCAGGAAGGCUUAAAACAAAGGGAAACAGGAAGAAACUACAGCAAGAGCGAUUCACGGCGGACACAGGGGAGGAUUUCCUGACUGUAGGGGAAGGCAUGGCAUUGCUGGGUGAGGGCACUGAAGCACCAUGUCAUCCUUGUUUCUGAAGCAAAUCCCUCGUCCCCUCUAGCUUCCCUGGACACUCCCCACCCAGCUUCAGAGGCGGCUGCCUGUCUGGAUCCCAUGCAUCCGACACCGUUCCUCCCAGGCUCCCACGUCCCUCCGUGUUCCUGUCUCGGGGCUUUCUGCAGAACUACAGAAGCUCACUCUCUUGUGUCUCCACACCCGAGGCGGCCUGGAAUCGCAGAGGAGUUACACCCCAAGGCAACCAUCAGCCAUCAUGGAUCAAUGCUCAUGAGCCUGUGCUCUGGACAGACAGUUCUGAAGGACAUUCCAGUGGCGCCUCUGAGGGUCCUAGAGGCCCCAAGGACCAGGCGUCCAUAAUUCAAUAACACACCUUUUAUUGGCUUCCUUCCUCCCAGGACACACCCGCCUCUCUCCCGUGCCUCCCUGCCUCCCCUCCCAAAUAAAACACCUGUACCCACGUCCCUGUCUCAGGUUGAGCUUUCAGAGGAGCUUCAGUAGGACACGAAUCUAUAGUGACAUCGCCGAUGUACCUGCUCCAGGACACCCUUGCUGACCCCUCCCCCAGGCCACUUGACCCUGGGUCUCCUGUUCCGUCUGACGUCUGUGGGGCAUGUGCACGGUCCACCCCUUCCCACCCCACCGUCACAGGGAGUUGGGGAGCUUGCUCUCCACUAAGCUCCAAGAUGCCUCCAGGCUGAGACAGUCUCCCGGUCAUCAGAGGGUCUAGUGGCUCAGGGCACCCCUUAUUUCAUCAGGGCCAUGAUCAUCAUUAUCAACAACACGGGGGCUCCCGUGUCCUCUGCAUUCACAUUUUGCUUUUCUGGUGGCUCAGAAUCUGCCCGCAAUGCGGAAGACCCAGGUUCGAUCCCUGGGUCAGAAAGAUCCCCUGGAGAAGGGAAUGGCAACCCACUCCAGUUUUUUUGCCUAGAGAAUUCCAUGGACAGAGGAGCCUAGCAGACUACAGUCCACGGGGUCGCAAAGAGUCAGACACUACUGAGCAACUAACAAACAUACACACACGGAAGGUGAUACAGUGCUGUGUAGAGAAAAAGAGUUGAGAAUUAACUUGAUUACCUGAUUCCUAACUAUUACCUGUGGGUUCAGUAAAGGAACAGUUACAUAAUAAUGACAUACUCACUCAAUAGACUCUUAUGUGGCCAUUUAUGAUUUUAAAUAUUUCAUUGUAAUAAAGAUUUUUGCUGAGCACUUAGUAUAUACCACAUACUGGGCUAAAAGCUUUUACAUACAUGUUCUCAUUUAAUC
This is a long non-coding RNA of Bos taurus (domestic cattle), 1405 nucleotides long. NCBI's taxonomy places the organism in Eukaryota, Metazoa, Chordata, Mammalia, Artiodactyla, Bovidae. The record is from Ensembl.